This 380-nucleotide ribosomal RNA is filed under the name uncultured eukaryote. Its description in RNAcentral is "partial 18S ribosomal RNA". It matches the Rfam family "Eukaryotic small subunit ribosomal RNA", at positions 592 to 976 of the family's 1831-position model. The record is from RNAcentral.
CAAUAGCGUAUAUUAAAGUUGUUGCGGUUAAAAAGCUCGUAGUUGGAGUUCUGCCAGGUGCCGCCUGUCCGCCCCAGUGGUGAGUACGUGGCGCGCAUUUGGCCCUUUCAAGGGGAGCGUAUCUGCACUUUAUUGUGUGGUGCGGGAUCCUUGACUUUUACUUUGAGGAAAUAGGAGUGUUCCAAGCAGGCUCUCGUCGUGCACAGCUCAGCAUGGAAUAAUAGCAUUGGACCUCGAUUCUAAGCUGUUGGUUGCCAGAAGCGAGGUAAUGAUGAAGAGGGAUAGUUGGGGGCAUUCGUAUUUAACUGUCAGAGGUGAAAUUCUUGGAUUUGUAAAAGACGGACUACUGCGAAAGCAUCUGCCAUGGAUGUUUUCAUUGA